This is a long non-coding RNA of Aplysia californica (California sea hare), 767 nucleotides long. RefSeq lists it as uncharacterized. The record is from RefSeq and is a predicted model, not a curated record. Lineage: Eukaryota; Metazoa; Mollusca; Gastropoda; Aplysiida; Aplysiidae. The transcript is spliced from 3 exons.
GGAUGACUGUAGGAGUGGCUGGCAGGGAGGCAGACUCAUGGAGGGACAAGCUCUGUAACACAAAGACCAAGAGUAUUGACAGCAGCGUCUCCGUCCUUGGUCAGCUCCAGCUCUCCAACACUCUCCGCUUGUUCGUCUCUCGGGGUGCUUGACAGCGGGGCUGACGUCGGUCGCGGGGUGGCAAACUGGCGGAAGUACGGCACUGGCUCCUGCAUGACCUUCUUCACUGCCUGGAUGAAGUACGUGUCGUCCAGGAGGCCUCUGUGAAGGGUCAAAGUCACACAGCUUGUGUUUUGUUCUUACAAUUUGGAAACUAUAAGUUAUUUACUUUCACAAAUCGGAAAAAUGUUAAUAAUUCACCAAAUUGAGAUAAUAACAAGAACAAUAAAAACAACAACAGGAACAUUUGAGUCCAAAAGCCUAAGAGAAGAUCCUUCUUAUCUUCAAUAUGACCUUCAGCUCAGCAGACGGUAGUUUUUCAGGGAGGACAACGAAAAGGACAGGUUACCUGAAGAAGGCAGCCACCCUAGUGAGAAGCACUUUUCUCAAGGUUCAUGGACAGGUGCAACAGUUCCCGAGGACACUGGCCACAAUGUUGGACUCGGCCACAGAGCAGUCAAUGUGGGUCGGGGCUGCGGACAUCUCGGGCUGGUUCUUGUUGGACUGGCGGUCACUCAGCGUGCGGUCAACGUAGAAGUGGCAAUACUCCUCAGGGAAGUUAGUCUGUAGAAAUGCCACACAUUGAUAUAAUAUAAAUUUAGAAACAU